Molecule: non-coding RNA, 313 nt
Filed under: Nicotiana attenuata
Lineage: Eukaryota; Viridiplantae; Streptophyta; Magnoliopsida; Solanales; Solanaceae
Description: rRNA SSU_rRNA_eukarya
Rfam family: Eukaryotic small subunit ribosomal RNA
Source: Rfam by way of RNAcentral
GUGUAAGUAUGAACAAAUUCAGACUGUGAAACUGCGAAUGGCUCAUUAAAUGAGUUAUAGUUUGUUUGAUGGUAUCUACUACUCGGUUAACCGUAGUAGUUCUAGAGCUAAUACGUGCAACAAACCCCGACUUCUGGAAGGGAUGCAUUUAUUAGAUAAAAGGUCGACGCGGGCUCUGCCCGUUGCUGUGAUGAUUCAUGAUAACUCGACGGAUCGCACGGCCAUCGUGCCGGCGACGCAUCAUUCAAAUUUCUGCCCUAUCAACUUUCGAUGGUAGGAUUGUGGCCUACUGUUAGACCUCUGCCAAUUUGAG